Molecule: unclassified non-coding RNA, 240 nt
Filed under: soil metagenome
Description: partial contains 5.8S ribosomal RNA, internal transcribed spacer 2, and large subunit ribosomal RNA
Source: RNAcentral
AACAUCGCGCACCUGCGGGAACCUGCGGAAGGAUCAUUACAGAGUUGCAAGACUCCCUAAACCAUUGUGAACGUUACCUAAACCGUUGCUUCGGCGGGCGGCCCGGGUCCUUCCCGGCGCCCCUCGGCCCUCGCGGGCGCCCGCCGGAGGUAAACCAAACUAUUGCAUUGUAUGGCCUCUCUGAGUCUUCUGUACUGAAUAAGUCAAAACUUUCAGCAACGGAUCUCAGAUCGGAAGAGC